GAAAUGCGAUAAGUAGUGUGAAUUGCAGAAUUCCGUGAAUCAUCGAAUCUUUGAACGCACAUUGCGCCCUUUGGUAGGUCCAUUGGGCAUGCCUGUUCGAGCGUCAUUUCCCCCCAAUCUCAAGCACUGCUUGGUGAUGGGCGCUUGUCCCGCCCUGCUGCGCGCGGACUCGCCUCAAAACCAUUGGCGGCCGGCAUCCGUUUUUCAACUUUUGACCUCGGAUCAGGUAGGGAUACCCGCUGAACUUAA
This 249-nucleotide unclassified non-coding RNA is filed under the name uncultured Pleosporales. RNAcentral describes it as "sequence contains ITS1". The stretch from base 1 to 106 matches the Rfam family "5.8S ribosomal RNA", at positions 50 to 154 of the family's 154-position model. The record is from RNAcentral. Lineage: Eukaryota; Fungi; Ascomycota; Dothideomycetes; Pleosporales.